UAAUACAGAGGGUGCAAGCGUUGUUCGGAAUUACUGGGCGUAAAGCGCGUGUAGGCUGCAACGUAAGUUGGACGUGAAAGCCCUUGGCUUAACCAAGGAAGUGCAUCCAAUACUGCGUCGCUUGAGUGUCGGAGGGGGCGGCGGAAUUCCCGGUGUAGAGGUGAAAUUCGUAGAUAUCGGGAGGAACACCUGUGGCGAAGGCGGCCGCCUGGACGAUAACUGACGCUGAGACGCGAAAGCGUGGGUAGCAAACAGGAUUAGAUACCCUGGUAGUCCACGCUGUAAACGAUGAGUGCUAGUCGUCAUGGGUAUUGACCCCUGUGGUGACGAAGUUAACACGUUAAGCACUCCGCCUGGGGAGUACGGUCGCAAGAUUA
Molecule: ribosomal RNA, 377 nt
Filed under: uncultured bacterium
Lineage: Bacteria
Description: bacterial SSU rRNA
Rfam family: Bacterial small subunit ribosomal RNA
Source: RNAcentral